GCAUAUCAAUAAGCGGAGGAAAAGAAACCAACAGGGAUUGCCCCAGUAACGGCGAGUGAAGCGGCAACAGCUCAAAUUUGAAAUCUGGCCCCCGGGUCCGAGUUGUAAUUUGUAGAGGAUGCUUUUGGCGAGGUGCCUUCCGAGUUCCCUGGAACGGGACGCCAUAGAGGGUGAGAGCCCCGUCUGGUCGGACACCGAGCCUCUGUAAAGCUCCUUCGACGAGUCGAGUAGUUUGGGAAUGCUGCUCAAAAUGGGAGGUAUAUGUCUUCUAAAGCUAAAUAUUGGCCAGAGACCGAUAGCGCACAAGUAGAGUGAUCGAAAGAUGAAAAGCACUUUGAAAAGAGGGUUAAAAAGUACGUGAAAUUGUUGAAAGGGAAGCGCCUAUGACCAGACUUGGGCCCGGUGAAUCAUCCAGCGUUCUCGCUGGUGCACUUUGCCGGGCACAGGCCAGCAUCAGUUUGGCGCGGGGGAGAAAGGCUCUGGGAAUGUGGCUCCUCCGGGAGUGUUAUAGCCCACUGCGUAAUACCCUGCGCCGGACUGAGGUACGCGCAUUGCAAGGAUGCUGGCGUAAUGGUCAUCAGCGACCCGUCUUGAAACACGGACCAAGGAGUCGUCUUCGUAUGCGAGUGUUCGGGUGUCAAACCCCUACGCGUAAUGAAAGUGAACGCAGGUGAGAGCUUCGGCGCAUCAUCGACCGAUCCUGAUGUUCUCGGAUGGAUUUGAGUAAGAGCAUACGGGGCCGGACCCGAAAGAAGGUGAACUAUGCCUGUAUAGGGUGAAGCCAGAGGAAACUCUGGUGGAGGCUCGCAGCGGUUCUGACGUGCGAAUCGAUCGUCAAAUAUGGGCAUGGGGGCGAAAGACUAAUCGAACCUUCUAGUAGCUGGGUUUCCGCCGAAGUU
Molecule: ribosomal RNA, 899 nt
Filed under: Akanthomyces muscarius
Lineage: Eukaryota; Fungi; Ascomycota; Sordariomycetes; Hypocreales; Cordycipitaceae
Description: LSU rRNA
Rfam family: Eukaryotic large subunit ribosomal RNA
Source: RNAcentral